RNAcentral lists this ribosomal RNA (120 nucleotides) under uncultured bacterium. RNAcentral describes it as "partial 16S ribosomal RNA". It matches the Rfam family "Bacterial small subunit ribosomal RNA", at positions 28 to 140 of the family's 1533-position model. The record is from RNAcentral.
GAUGAACGCUAGCGGCAGGCCUAACACAUGCAAGUCGAGGGGCAUCGGGGAAAAGCUUGCUUUUCUGCCGGCGACCGGCGCACGGGUGCGCAACGCGUAUGGAACCUGCCCUUUACAGGG